UUUGUUUGCUGGCUUCUUAUAAGUUGGAAUUAUGGUCAAUUAAGUUGUAAAUAUUUUUCAAAUUCACAUUUUAAAGAAAAAUACAGUCUGCCUAAAAUUUUUCAAAACUGCCUAUGUCACCUAACAAAUAAAAAAACAAGAAUUCCUACUUAAUAUUUUUUCAUUGAAGAAAAUAGAAAAAUCUAUUUCAAAAUACUUGGCUACCUUAUCAGGCCUAAAAGAACCACUUAUAGUCAGAAUGACUGAAGAAUUACAUCUGAAUUUUGGAACUCUUUUACUGAGAAAUAGAAAUUAUCCAAUGGAGGAUAUACUUUUAAUAUACUGACAUUUUUGUAGACAAUUAUUUUGUUAGAAGAUAUAGUUAUAGCCUAUAGUAUAUUAGCAGUCAUAUUUCCUUUGUGAGUGUGAUAUGUAUUUUCACCCAAAAACAUAUUUUAAGGACUUCUUAAUUCUUGAAAGCUUGUACUUUCCUUUGUUCCCUAAGGAGAAAAAGCCAAUGCUUAUGAUGAAAUAAAUGUGAACUCACAGCUAAUCAGGAGACUUUCAUAUGAAGGUUAUAGAUUAAAAUAAGUUUUUAAAGAAAUUUUUUUAAAAAAUUAAAACCUUUUUUCCCUAGGGAUUAGAAUAAACUCAUAAUGCCAGAGUACUUUGUUAACCCUAUGGAAGACACUGUGGGAAAGAAAUUCACAACUCUGCUUUCAUGUCACAUAUAAGGGAUGCUCACCACAAAUUGAUAGAGAAAAAGGAGAGUUAGGGUUCUGAAAAUGUAAUCUUAC
Molecule: long non-coding RNA, 776 nt
Filed under: Marmota monax (woodchuck)
Lineage: Eukaryota; Metazoa; Chordata; Mammalia; Rodentia; Sciuridae
Source: RNAcentral